GACGAACGCUGGCGGCGUGCUUAACACAUGCAAGUCGAACGGAAAGGCCCUGCUUUUGUGGGGUGCUCGAGUGGCGAACGGGUGAGUAACACGUGAGUAACCUGCCCUUGCCUUUGGGAUAACUUCAGGAAACUGGGGCUAAUACCGGAUAGGAGCUCCUGCUGCAUGGUGGGGGUUGGAAAGUUUCGGCGGUUGGGGCUGGACUCGCGGCUUAUCAGCUGGUUGGUGGGGUAGUGGCUUACCAAGGUUUGGACGGGUAGCCGGCCUGAGAGGGUGACCGGCCACAAUGGGACUGAGAUACGGCCCAGACUGCUACGUGAGGCAGCAGUGGGGAAUAUUGCGCAAUGGGCGGAAGCCUGAUGCAGCGACGCCGCGUGCGGGAUGACGGCUUUCGGGUUGUAAACCGCUUUCGCCUGUGACGAAGCGGGAGUGACGGUAACGGGUAAAAAAGCACCGGCUAACUACGUG
RNAcentral lists this ribosomal RNA (468 nucleotides) under uncultured bacterium. RNAcentral describes it as "partial 16S ribosomal RNA". It matches the Rfam family "Bacterial small subunit ribosomal RNA", at positions 28 to 507 of the family's 1533-position model. The record is from RNAcentral.